UCAAGGACGACUGGAUUCUAUGAAGUGGCCACGUCACACAGAAGCUGCGGAUAGGAGAUAGGAAGCCUUAGAGAAUGUCACCUGCCUCCAUUCUUCCCCUAACUCUGCCAUGCACCCAAUAGUCAUUGGCUUUAUAGUCCUUUGCUUCCUGAGUGCAGGCUCCUUUGAUGCUGAAGUCACCCAGACGCCAAGACAUCUGCUCAAAGGGAAAGGACAAAAAGUGAAAAUGGACUGUGUUCCGAUAAAAGGACACAGUUAUGUUUAUUGGUAUCAGCAGAUCCCAGCCAAAGAGUUCAAGUUCUUGAUUUCAUUUCAGAACGAAAAGAUCUUUGAUGGAAAUGAGAUGCCCAAGGAGAGAUUUUCAGCUGAGUGCCCCCAAGACUCAGCCUGCAGCCUGGAGAUCCAGCCGGCAGCGCUACAGGACUCGGCCAUGUAUUUCUGUGCCAGCAGGGUGUCCACAGUGUGAAACAUCAGCUAUUCUUGAUGCACAAACUCAGGGUGGCCCAGCACAGGAAGCAGGUGGCUCGCUGGUUGGAAGGAAGGAAGAGAAGCCAACUAGAGCUUCCCUUGGCCAGGAGGGAGUUUAUUGCAAGGCUAAAGAUGUGCCCCUCCAGAAAAACAAACAAACAAACCAACCAGUUGCUGUCCAGUCAAUUCAGACUCACAGAGACCCCAUGUGUGCAGAGUA
Molecule: non-coding RNA, 688 nt
Organism: Trichechus manatus latirostris (Florida manatee)
Lineage: Eukaryota; Metazoa; Chordata; Mammalia; Sirenia; Trichechidae
Source: the annotation of a RefSeq genome assembly